Molecule: long non-coding RNA, 1358 nt
Filed under: Homo sapiens (human)
Lineage: Eukaryota; Metazoa; Chordata; Mammalia; Primates; Hominidae
Description: non-protein coding lnc-FAAH2-1:15
Source: RNAcentral
UGACUUUCUCCUGAAUUUCUGUGAUCUUUGUUUCCAUCCAGAUUCUAAAUUCUGUUUGUCGUUUCAGCCAUUUUGGUCUGGUUAAAAACCAUUGCUAGGGAGCUAGUGCAGUUGUUUGGGGAUAAGAAGACAUUCUGGCUUUUAGAGUUUCAGAGUUCUUGCACUGGUUGUUUUGUAUGUGUGUGGGCUGAUGUUCAUUUAAUCUUUGAAGUCGCUCUUCUUUGUAUGGUGCUUUUUGCUUGUAUUUUCUUUGGUGUCCUUGAAGGUUUGACUGGUAUAAGUUGGGUUUAGUUGAUGGCCUUCAUUUCUAGAUGAUUCAGGGGGCCAACAUUCAGCUCUGCACUACUGGGCUGUGUAAUUUAACCAUGGGUAGAUGGUACCAGGCCUGUGAUUUUGUUCUCUGUCUCCUCCAGGUUAAGCACCUGCUGUGCUGGAUGGGCCAAGGUGCUCCCUGUCUGGUGGCAACAAUACUCCAAUGGGAGUGCUGGCGAAAGUGAUUCAUUUGAGUAGUGGCAGUGGGUUCCAUGCAUGCAUGCAUGCUUGUGUCAGCAGGAUCGGUGUGCAAGUGUGUAUCCAAGCAGUGGCAUGGCAUUGACAUGGUCGGGUCUGCAAGUGCACACAGUCUCCACUGGCAGAGUGCAGUGGGGUCUGCACAUGUGUGCACACCACCAGCAGCAGCAUGGCAGUGUUCACAUGUGCAUGUGCCAGCACAUCUGUAGGGGAGACUGUGGGUGAGUGCACAUCAGCAGAAGCUGCGGGUGGUGCUUAUCAGCAGAAGCUCUCUGAUGGUUAAGCAAGAUCUGUCAGUGUAGGAGCUAUGAAGUUGGCUGCUGGGAAAUGCCUCAGUUGGGCAUCUGAGUCUGUGCUACAAGCAACUAUAGCCAGGCAGGGACCCUGGGAAAGGCUGGUAGAUAGGGGGAUGCUCAGAUCACACUGGCCGCAUCCUACAGGCAACAUAACCCUAUUCUGUACAGGACUGAUAGUCAACAAAAUCCAAAUCCACCUACAUGAACAUGUUAUGCCUCAGGGAAUGGGCAUCCAUGAUGGUGCUCCACUGCAGCCAUUCUGGCACCAAAACCUCUGAGUCCCAUGCAGGCUGGAGCCCUGUCCCUGCCAACUCCCCAAGAAGCUCUUUCUGCUAGCUCAAAUGCCUGUUAGGGACAUGGGGUUUUCUGCAGCUAUGAUUCUGGAGGUUUGUGGACUCCUUCUUUACACCAAAUGCAAAAAUUAAAUCAAGAUGGAUUAAAGAUGUAAAUGUAAAACCAAAAACUAUAAAAAUCCUGGAAGACAACCUAUACAAUACUGUUCUCCACAUAGGAAUCAGCAAAGAUUUUAUGAUGAUGCCAAAAGCAAUUGCA